RNAcentral lists this ribosomal RNA (1393 nucleotides) under uncultured bacterium. RNAcentral describes it as "partial 16S ribosomal RNA". It matches the Rfam family "Bacterial small subunit ribosomal RNA". The record is from RNAcentral.
GCUUAACACAUGCAAGCCGAGGGGCAGCGGGGAGGAAGCUUGCUUUCUCCGCCGGCGACCGGCGCACGGGUGAGUAACACGUAUGCAACCUGCCCCUGUCAGGGGGACAACCCGCCGAAAGGCGGGCUAAACCCGCGUACAUGCCACCGGGGCAUCCCGGAGGCAGGAAAGGCUUCGGCCGGACAGGGAUGGGCAUGCGGCGCAUUAGGCAGUAGGCGGGGUAACGGCCCACCUAACCGACGAUGCGUAGGGGUUCUGAGAGGAAGGUCCCCCACACUGGUACUGAGACACGGACCAGACUCCUACGGGAGGCAGCAGUGAGGAAUAUUGGUCAAUGGUCGGGAGACUGAACCAGCCAAGCCGCGUGAGGGAUGAAGGUACAGAGUAUCGUAAACCUCUUUUGUCAGGGAACAAAGGCGGGGACGUGUCCCCGGAUGAGUGUACCAGAAGAAAAAGCAUCGGCUAACUCCGUGCCAGCAGCCGCGGUAAUACGGAGGAUGCGAGCGUUAUCCGGAUUUAUUGGGUUUAAAGGGUGCGCAGGCGGUCUGUUAAGUCAGCGGUCAAAGCCCGGGGCUCAACCCCGGCCCGCCGUUGAAACUGGCAGUCUCGAGUUGGAGAGAAGUAUGCGGAAUGCGCGGUGUAGCGGUGAAAUGCAUAGAUAUCGCGCAGAACUCCGAUUGCGAAGGCAGCAUGCCGGCUCCACACUGACGCUGAGGCACGAAAGCGUGGGUAUCGAACAGGAUUAGAUACCCUGGUAGUCCACGCAGUAAACGAUGAAUGCUGGCGGUCCGGGGGGGAUUGACCCCUGGGUGGCGAAGCGAAAGCGAUAAGCAUCCACCUGGGGAGUACGCCGGCAACGGUGAAACUCAAAGGAAUUGACGGGGGCCCGCACAAGCGGAGGAACAUGUGGUUUAAUUCGAUGAUACGCGAGGAACCUUACCCGGGCUCAAACGGGGAGUGACUCAGGCAGAGACGCCUGUUUCCCACGGGACACUCCCCGAGGUGCUGCAUGGUUGUCGUCAGCUCGUGCCGUGAGGUGUCGGCUUAAGUGCCAUAACGAGCGCAACCCCCGCGUGCAGUUGCUAACAGAUAACGCUGAGGACUCUGCACGGACUGCCGGCGCAAGCCGCGAGGAAGGCGGGGAUGACGUCAAAUCAGCACGGCCCUUACGUCCGGGGCGACACACGUGUUACAAUGGGUGGUACAGCGGGAAGCCAGGCGGCGACGCCGAGCGGAACCCGAAAUCCACUCUCAGUUCGGAUCGGAGUCUGCAACCCGACUCCGUGAAGCUGGAUUCGCUAGUAAUCGCGCAUCAGCCAUGGCGCGGUGAAUACGUUCCCGGGCCUUGUACACACCGCCCGUCAAGCCAUGGGAGCCGAGGGCGCUUGAAGCC